AACAGACUUUCAUUCAGGCAAUAGCUGACAAAACUAGAAUUAAGUUCGUGCAGAGAUUCGUUGGAUAACACAAAAUUCACACGAAAAGGAUUAUAAUACUAUAUACUCAGCAGAAUGCGUCGUUCAACACACUUUCAUUCAGGCAAUAGCUGACAAAACUAGAAAUAAGUUCGUGCAGAGAUUCUGAUUUACAUCUGUUUCGUCAUGCUUUUCUUUACCAUGUGAUAGGAGCCUACCAUGUGGAGCACUUGGAUACAAUACAGCGCCAGGUUUGACUUAGGAAAGAGUAAUACAGCACAACCAUAAAAGGUGAUCUAUUAUUCUGAAGAUAACAUAGUAAUAUACAAAGUAAGCCCCUUGAACCUCAAAACUGAAGCAUAUACCAGAAAAGGAUUUAAAUGCGAUUAGAUA
This 411-nucleotide long non-coding RNA is filed under the name Nicotiana benthamiana. Its description in RNAcentral is "long non-coding RNA (NBEN_LNC013548)". The record is from RNAcentral. Lineage: Eukaryota; Viridiplantae; Streptophyta; Magnoliopsida; Solanales; Solanaceae.